CCCCGCAGACGCCGCGUCCCCCCCCAGUUCCGGGCUCUGCGUCCCGGGCGCUCCGAGGUCUGAGAAGAGGAAAGGAGCUCCUCCGCCUCCUUCUCCUCCUCUUCUAGAGCGGCCGCCGUCGCCGCCUCGCUCCUCCCCCAGCUCUCCCAGAGCCGGACGCCGCCCCGCCCCCACCGCCCCUUUCCCGGCUUCGGCCGGGCGGCGGGCUGGGGUUCGCAGCCGCGGCUGGGGGCCGAAGUGCCAGCGGAUCCACACCGACCUCGCCGGGGCUCGCGCUGUUCGCCCCGCCCCGGAGCCCGCUCGGGCGCGUGCGCGCCAGCCAGCCAGCGCACAGGCGCGUGCUCGCGCCGGCGCGAACCCGACGCGCCGAGCUCGAGGCCGUUGCAGCCACCCGGCGCGCGAAGGCCGGGCGGGAGGCGGCCCGCGCGCCAGGGAUCUGCGAGUGGAGAGGCGCCGGGCGGGAGGCGGGCUCCAGUCCGUCGGGUUACCGCCCCUCUCGAGACCCAGCCCCUCGCGCCUCGCACCGCCCGCCGGGUCGCGCGCCUCAGUUGAGGGUGCUCGGGCGUCGCCGGGAACUGGGAAUAACGAGGAAGGGUAGGGAUUGGAGGAGUGGGUCGGCAACAAACUAGAUGAAAGUGGGGACGGGUAGUACUAGAGCACGUGCCCACGUGCAGAACAGCCCAGGCCCACAAAGAGCCGGGCGGCGUGGGGAGGGGGGUAACAGCGCGCUCUGGGAGUGAAGGACCGGAGCUGGAACUGCCGAAAAGAGCCGAAACUCCCCCGGAGAUUGCCGAAGGCGGGCGCAUCGAGAGGAACCGUGCGAGGGGCUUUAUAAUAUCUAGGUUCCCGCGGGGACGCGCGCUCUCAGGCCGCGUUGCCUUUCGCUGCUCCCGACUCCGCCCCAUGGCCUUCCAGCGCCUUCUCCUUUGCCUGCUUCCCGACUCAAGUUUGACUCCAAAAGGCCGUUUCAGAGUCCCUGACCUCAGGCAACUCCCGGACGUCCGGACUUCGUGGCCGCUCAGCUUCCUGGGAGUCCGUAGAGGCCGGUGCGGGAUCGAGGGCAGGAGGGCAGGAUAACCUCUGGACUUGAAGGUUCUCUACCACGUAUGCCAGACGCUGCCCAAGCCCAUUUCUGAGUCGGAUCUCUGGUUUGCUCAGCCGUCUACAUUCCUCCGUGCGGCUGUGGUCAGGCCGCCAGUGAAUCUUUCUGUUAAAUAUCCUUCUGACUUCAUGAUCAGAUUCCCAACCUCCCCAGGGCCAGAAUCGUCUGUAGUAUUUGUGCAACCUUCUACCCAGUGUCCUGAAAGUGUGAAGUACUCACCCCACCGUCAACUGGUCAGUGGUCGAUUAGGAGCGGCCAGAGGCUGGGGAUUUAGACAGCAUUGAAAAGAUUAAUCAGGAUCUGUCCCCAUGUUGUUAGCUUUUGAGGCCAAAGCUUAAGGAACUCUGGACAGGCAUCAGCGACAAACCUGGAACUGUAUAUGAGUAUGUAUAGCUAGACACCACAGGCACAGAGUAGAAAUGGAAUGCUAUGACCUUGCUUAACGGGAAACUUCAUGCUGCUGAAGAAUGGUACCUGACCAAGAGAAUCCAAGAUCCCUUCCAUAAUGACAGAUUUCACCUACCAAAAGUUGCCUAGAAAACUCUUCAUUAUAGGGCCCCUUGUUGCUGCAGAACCAAUAUUGUUUCUUUGGGAGGAAAAUAAAGUCUACUUUUGGAAAUCUCA
Long non-coding RNA from Acinonyx jubatus (cheetah), 1726 nucleotides. RefSeq lists it as uncharacterized. The record is from RefSeq and is a predicted model, not a curated record. The transcript has 2 exons. Lineage: Eukaryota; Metazoa; Chordata; Mammalia; Carnivora; Felidae.